Long non-coding RNA from Helianthus annuus (common sunflower), 547 nucleotides. RefSeq lists it as uncharacterized. The transcript has 4 exons. The record is from RefSeq and is a predicted model, not a curated record. Lineage: Eukaryota; Viridiplantae; Streptophyta; Magnoliopsida; Asterales; Asteraceae.
UCUGGUCGAUCAAGAAUGAGCAGGGGCGACACCCCACUCUCAAACCCUAGAAAAGUUCACUAAAACUCUCAAUUGGAGGUGCAAAUCUGGUCCAAAACGAAAGUCGAGCAUAGAUUAUUAAUCCUCAUCACAAGAGGAUUACAAGUUUGACGCGUAACAAGCUAGGUGGAAGCUUGAUGAGGGAGCGGAUCAAACAAAUCAAGAAGGAAAGGAAAAGCAUAGUUCGAAUGCGAAAAAUAAAUAUCGAGUGGAUAUUUACAUCGCUAUUACUUAGUAGAUAUUGAGGCAAGGUACUUAAAUGGGUCAAUGUAAUGAUCCGAGCCAGGUACUUUUGGAUGCCGGAAGACGAUCAAGCUCAGCGAAGAACCGAACACGAUAAAGAUACACGCUUCCGCACUUUGCCACGUUGUAAAUUUUAAACAACGAAUUCGAUCACGUUAUGUAGAAUAACUUAUGAUUUGUAAAACUUUUAGUAAACCCGUAUUUCUGAUGUAUAUGUAAUCGUGAUUACAUGAUAGUUUUCGUAAAAGAUUCAUUAAACCUUAAA